Long non-coding RNA from Cygnus olor (mute swan), 2184 nucleotides. RefSeq lists it as uncharacterized. The record is from RefSeq and is a predicted model, not a curated record. Lineage: Eukaryota; Metazoa; Chordata; Aves; Anseriformes; Anatidae. The transcript has 3 exons.
AUUACAUUUCCAUGGCAACACCAGAAUGACUGUACAAUCAGCAACGGAUCCAAUACCCAGCCAACAAUACCGUGGCAUCUUGUGCCCCCAACGAGGCAGUAAUUGGGUGAUGGCUAUUCUCUGCUUGUCCACCCACAGCGAGCAGCAUCACGGAGACAGCGAAAGCCAACGUAAACGUUCAAUCCUUCAGCCCUGCCAGUGCUGACAGAACAGCACCAACAACGACCACGACGAGUUUUGUUCCUGACAAGUCUGGAUCCUGGACUCUGGUGAACCAUUUUAAACUCGCUGUUUAAUGUACUCAUCAAAAGCUUGGCAAUUAAUAGCCACCUGUCACAGACACGCAUUCUUUAUCGCAUGGGGAGAGAAGGAAAAUCAUCAACACCUUUGGGUGAGGGACGCGAAUCCUAGCAGAGCUGUAGCAGCAGCUAAGCGAGAAACCCAAACCACAGCGGUCUGCGUUCUCCAGGAGCUCUGCCAUCGGCCAAGGUCUGGAAACCCAGUGCACUCUAAGAAGCCUUCGCCUGCCACCAUCUAUUCUGUAAACAAUCCCAAUUGCACCAGAUGACAGAACAGGGUAGAAUUAAGCUCUUCAUCUCCAUUGUCCACGUCUAACAUCUCCAUUAUCAGAGUGUGUGCAGUUACAGUCCCUACAGAAGCGAUGAAGGGACAGCAACACCUGACGUCAGUCCUGCUGCACAUCCAACAGUAUUUGUCUAGCAGUGAGCAAAACAACUCACUGGGUCAUACGGCUCCGUGCGUUAGCCCUCCCAACGCACAAUUAAAAACUACUGCAGACAGCUUGUGCUGGGUGACUCAGAGCCUCCAGCAUUUGCAGAGAGCGCUGCUCCUGCCACCGGCCGUACCCAGAGCUUGUUGCAUGUGUCUCGCUGCCUGCUGACUCGACUGUUUUCCCCUGCAUUUGCUCGUGCAGUUACCCAGCGAGAAGUUACUGGAAUUCCCAUGCAGCAUGCAGUUUGGCUAAAAAGCAAAUAACCUAGAGAAAUGACACUAUCAUUGAAGAACAUAAAAAAAAUAUAAUUUUCCUUGUAAGUCAACAGAAAUCACAGCUCAUCAACUUUUCUGGUUGAAGACCUCACUGUUUAACACAGGCCUUUCUAAUGUUAAGAUUGCAAAGAUGUUCACAACAACUAUUUUGGAAAUACCAGAAAAAAGCAUCCUUGAGAAGCACUCCUCGUGCACGACUUUAUUUGUUGGGAGAUCUUAGCAGGUUAACUCGAUUACGUUGAACUCAGAGCCGUUCUGCUCAAUUUCUUCUCACUUCCAAGACUGCUGCUUCUAUUUCAGACCUAGAAAUGGGUUUCUGUCCCAGAAAGAUGAUACAUUCAGAAAAAAAUACCUCAUGCCACACACUUGGUCUUUCUUCCACAAGCUCCUUCCUUACUUGCAGCAUCUCUCAAGACUUAACGCCGUGACCUUUGAAAGCAAAGAACUCAAGUUGUGACCGUGAGCCCCCCACCUCCUUUCUUUCUGCUGAAAAUGUGGGCAGCCCCAGAAGUCUCCAUCGUGCCCACCCCACCCCACGCUCCUGCACUGAAAGAGGGCUCCACAUUUGGCGUCCAUGGUCCCUGGGCCAUGGGUUCCCUGGAUAAAGCGUGUUUUGUUGUGAGACGCCAAGCGGAGAAACCCGUGACUUUCCCCAACACCUGGACACACACGACACGAGAUAAAGGAUCGCUUGCUAAAAACUGCUACCGCCAUUUAACUCGCCCACUUGAAGUGAAAACAAUUUUCUUACAGAUAUUUUAUACUCCGCUAAUAACCAGAGCUAUUUAUAGGUAUUUUAUAGAACUGGGCACCUUAUCAAGGUAUUUUAUCAGCAUCUUAUAGCGCAGUAAGCUAUUCAAGCCUCAGAGAUUGAAUCAACUUCCACCUACAAUUAAUAAUAUACUGUGAAGAGCUGAUAAACACUCGGAUGUGGCUCAUUCUUUAAGUUUUCUCACCAUAAAUGAUUGACUACCGCUUAUGUCAAUACUGCCUUGAGCAGGAGCUGUGGCUAUAGGAACAGGGGAGCUGUCGCAGCAGCCCAGCCCUUCCUCCCUGCCCUCCACACAAAAGCCCAGUAACAAACACCUUCUUGUUACUUCUUCCAUAGCGUGCGCACACUGUGAAGUCCUGAGCGGAACUGUGCAAGCUCAAGAUUUUUCAUUUCAAUUUAAGAAG